GAUGAACGCUGACAGAAUGCUUAACACAUGCAAGUCGAUGGGGAAGUGGUGCUUGCACCAUGGUAACCAUGGCGGACGGGUGAGUAACGCGUAAGGAACUUGCCUGCGGGACUGGGAUAACAGCAGGAAACUGCUGAUAAUACCGGAUAAGGUCAUUAAGCUACAUAGCUUAGUGAUGAAAGGAGACGCCUGCGGAGAGCCUUGCGUCCUAUUAGCUAGUUGGAGGGGUAACGGCCCACCAAGGCGAAGAUAGGUAGCCGGCCUGAGAGGGUGGACGGCCACAAGGGGACUGAGAUACGGCCCUUACUCCUACGGGAGGCAGCAGUGGGGAAUAUUGGACAAUGGGGGCAACCCUGAUCCAGCAAUUCUGUGUGCACGAAGACGGUUUUCGGAUUGUAAAGUGCUUUCAGCAGGGAAGAAGGAAGUGACGGUACCUGCAGAAGAAGCGACGGCUAAAUACGUG
Molecule: ribosomal RNA, 463 nt
Filed under: uncultured bacterium
Lineage: Bacteria
Description: partial 16S ribosomal RNA
Rfam family: Bacterial small subunit ribosomal RNA
Source: RNAcentral